This is a long non-coding RNA of Branchiostoma floridae (Florida lancelet), 252 nucleotides long. RefSeq lists it as uncharacterized. The record is from RefSeq and is a predicted model, not a curated record. The transcript has 3 exons. Lineage: Eukaryota; Metazoa; Chordata; Leptocardii; Amphioxiformes; Branchiostomatidae.
UUCCAGUUGGUGUGAGAGACUGAAGACAACGAUGGCGACUUGGUCCCUCCUGAUGUGUUUGGUGCUGGCUGCAGCCCUGCUGGGCGAAGGUCAAGCUGAACAGGGCGAUGGAAACCGCAUUGUCGGUGGGAGUGAAGCUGAGGCCCAUAGCUGGCCAUGGCAAGGGUCUUUGCAGUAUCGAGGCAGCCACAUCUGCGGAUGCACGCUCAUCAACGAGAACUACUGCCUGACUGCCGCCCACUGUGUGUACCG